This 253-nucleotide ribosomal RNA is filed under the name uncultured bacterium. Its description in RNAcentral is "partial 16S ribosomal RNA". It matches the Rfam family "Bacterial small subunit ribosomal RNA", at positions 524 to 776 of the family's 1533-position model. The record is from RNAcentral.
UACGUAGGGGGCAAGCGUUGUCCGGAAUCAUUGGGCGUAAAGCGCGUGUAGGCGGCUUGGUAAGUCUGCUCUGAAAGCCCCGGGCUCAACCUGGGAAUGGCAUUUGAGACUGCAUAGCUAGGGUGCGGAAGAGGGAAGCGGAAUUUCCGGUGUAGCGGUGAAAUGCGUAGAUAUCUGGAGGAACACCGGUGGCGAAGGCGGCAUCCUGGACCGGCAUUGACGCUGAGGCGCGAAAGCCAGGGGAGCAAACGGG